Non-coding RNA from Notechis scutatus (mainland tiger snake), 452 nucleotides. The record is from the annotation of a RefSeq genome assembly. Lineage: Eukaryota; Metazoa; Chordata; Lepidosauria; Squamata; Elapidae.
CACAAACUUUGUGAACUUUCCAAACUUCUCAACAAUCAGUUCCACUCCAUUCAUUAGAGAGAGCAGCAAUGAUCCUGUGGCUAAGUGUGGUGUCCUUACUAGCUGUCCUCAGAGGUGUCCAAUCUGAGGUCCAGUUGGUGGAGUCUGGAGGGGAUGUGAAAAGACCUGGAGAUUCUUUACGUCUCUCCUGCCAAGGUUCUGGAUACAACUUUGGUGGCUACAACAUGGGCUGGGUGAGACAGGCCCCAGGAAAAGGACUGGAAUGGGUGUCAUACAUAAGCUACAAUUCUGGUACUAUUUACUACUCAGACAAAGUCAAGGGGCGAUUCACCAUUUCCAGGGACAAUGCCAAAAGCCAGCUGUAUCUGCAGAUGAAUAGCCUCAAACCAGAGGACACGGCAGUCUAUUACUGUGCAAGAGACACAGUGAGAGGAAGUAAAUCUGAAGUUUGA